AGACUCCUACGGGAGGCAGCAGUGGGGAAUAUUGCACAAUGGCGAANCUGAUGCAGCCAUGCCGCGUGUGUGAAGAAGGCCUUCGGGUGUUAAAGCACUUUCAGUCGUGAGGAAGGUAGUGUAGUUAAUAGCUGCAUUAUUUGACGUUAGCGACAGAAGAAGCACCGGCUAACUCCGUGCCAGCAGCCGCGGUAAUACGGAGGGUGCGAGCGUUAAUCGGAAUUACUGGGCGUAAAGCGCAUGCAGGUGGUUUGUUAAGUCAGAUGUGAAAGCCCGGGGCUCAACCUCGGAAUUGCAUUUGAAACUGGCAGACUAGAGUACUGUAGAGGGGGUAGAAUUUCAGGUGUAGCGGUGAAAUGCGUAGAGAUCUGAAGGAAUACCGGUGGCGAAGGCGGCCCCCUGGACAGAUACUGACACUCAGAUGCGAAAGCGUGGGGAGCAAACAGGAUUAGAUACCCUGGUAG
Molecule: ribosomal RNA, 464 nt
Filed under: uncultured bacterium
Lineage: Bacteria
Description: bacterial SSU rRNA
Rfam family: Bacterial small subunit ribosomal RNA
Source: RNAcentral